CCUACGGGUGGCAGCAGUGGGGGAUAUUGCACAAUGGGGGAAACCCUGAUGCAGCGACGCCGCGUGAGUGAAGAAGUAUUUCGGUAUGUAAAGCUCUAUCAGCAGGGAAGAAAAAAGACGGUACCUGACUAAGAAGCCCCGGCUAACUACGUGCCAGCAGCCGCGGUAAUACGUAGGGGGCAAGCGUUAUCCGGAUUUACUGGGUGUAAAGGGAGCGUAGACGGCAAUACAAGUCGGAAGUGAAAUACCCGGGCUCAACCUGGGAACUGCUUUGGAAACUGUAUGGCUAGAGUGCUGGAGAGGUAAGCGGAAUUCCAGGUGUAGGAGUGAAAUCCGUAGAUAUCUGGAGGAACAUCAGUGGCGAAGGCGACUAUCUGGCACAUAACUGACGCUGAGGAGCGAAAGCGUGGGUAGCAAACAGGAUUAGAUACCCCAGUAGUC
Molecule: ribosomal RNA, 441 nt
Filed under: uncultured bacterium
Lineage: Bacteria
Description: partial 16S ribosomal RNA
Rfam family: Bacterial small subunit ribosomal RNA
Source: RNAcentral